AAGCUGUUCUGACAUUUGAGCAGCUCCUUUGUAAACAAAUUGAAGUAACAUUUUGUUCUCUGCUUUCUAGGUCCUUCACAAAGGAAAUGGGAAAAAAGGAGAAAAACGGUAUAUGAGUGGAAAUGCAACCAAAGUGAGAAAGGAGAAUUGGAAUGGCAUAGGACUUCAAAGGGAAGAAAGAACCAUCAUUACUGAGGCAUCUUUUUCCCCCUAGCAGUGCUGGAGAUGGAAGAGAAUCCUACACAUUUUCAGGAGAGAUACUUUCAAGCCUUCUGCCCUUCAAUUUAAAUGGUUUGGAGCCUGUCACUGCACUGAGAGGACAGAAUUACUAUUGGUUAUAACAGCAUCAACAGAUCUGACCACACAUCGCUUCUGUGAGUUGAACCUUUUCUCACACUUUCACCGUUUAUCAGUCAUCUUUAUCAUCAGCGGGUGUGACGCGGAAGAGCAGGGAGGAGAUGGGGGAUGGGAGAAGUGAGUAGAAGUACGAGGAGAGCUAAACAGGAGAAACAAGAAUAAGUAAAAAUUUACGCAAUGGUCUGCAGUCAUAUUCUGUAAGAGGUCUUUCAUAUUUGGAGCGAAGGGUUGAUAAUAAAAUACUUUUGGGAGCAGAGGCAGGACGUAGGAGGAGAGACAGACGUAUAACUAGGGAUUAAAGAAUGCUGUGAGCUUCUCAGAACCCCGUGUUUACCUGUUUAUCUGUAAGGUUGAGAGGAGCGAGAGAAAACAAGGGGCUAGCUAAAGUAAGAACCAAAGAAACCAAAUAGGUAAGACAAGGUCAACAUAAGAGAAGGUGGGAAUGUCCGAAGGAAAGAGAAAUACAGGGAGAAAAACAAGCAAAAGGAGCUAUUAGAAAAGUGGAAGAAACAAGCAAAAAUAAGAAAAUAGUGUUGCUACAGAUUGCAGAGUUAAAGAAAAGUAGUACACAGAGGAGAGAAAAUGAACGACUAAAUCAAAGUAAAAGUAACAAAAACCCAGCUCUGGCAAGCACAAGGAAAUAGUUCCAUUCCCGGUACGGGAAAAAAACCAAAAAAAAAAAAAAAAACCGAAAAAGAAAACACUAAGAAUAUAUAUUUGAGGUGUACUUAUUACCUUUGAAAUAAAUUUAAAAAUCCUUUUAGAGCUGGGUGUGGUGGCAGACACAUGUAAUCCUAGCACGCAGGAGACUGAGGAAGGAGAAUCUCCCUGUGUUUGAGGCCAGCCUGCACUACAUAGUGAGAACCAGUUUCAACGCCGCUCAAAGAUAAAAUUAAUUUAAAAUAAAAAUCCUCUUAGAGUUUGACAGUACUUAGGUAUUUGGAACACAAUGAUUCCAACUCUACUAACAAAUAGGAAAGCAUAAAAUGCAAGUAGGUACUAACGUUUAUUGUAUAAAAAUUGUGUAUCAUGAUCAGAAAUUCAUAUAUGGUUUAUUAUAAAAAACUGCAGUGUAAUUUGAAGAAAUACACUACAUAUAAUUCUGUCUAUAUUUCUAAGAAUAUUCAUUAAUAAUUGCAAGUACUGAAGAACCAUACUGAGACAUGUAAAAGUUAUUUAAAUGUAAAAAUCACAUUACUCCUAUAGGUUAAGCCGUAUAAUUUAAUGUAACACUUAAGAAGGAAAUUUUGCUAUUACUGACUUUUCAUGAAAAUUGUCCAGUGACGGUGUAAAGCAGAAGAGCAGCUACGGGAGAGAGAUGAAAGAUGAUUUUCUAUCCAUUGCUAAAUACUGGAACCAAAGGAUGAGUAUACAGGGAAAUCGUUGCCUCACCUCUCCUUUUACAACCACUUGAAUAUUUUUAUAGUAAAUGCGUGUUUGGUCCUUGUGCAUGGCGUCAUUGUUUAAAUUUAUUAUCAUCACUCAAGAUAAAUGGAAAGCUAAUUUAAUAUCAUAAUUAGAAUUUAAGCUUUUCACGUUGACUUACGGCCUGAAACUGAUAUUUAACCAAAUCUCCUGGUAAUCAUAUAGAACUAAAAAUCAAAAAUGUUCUACCCAAUGCUAUGCCUUCUGGCAUCGUUCACAGUCUUCCUGGCAUCUCACAGAGCAUCAAAGAAAACUGUUAGUCCAUGUCCAGUGUACAAAUCUGACUAUAUUUCUAUGAGCUAAGAGGUUAUUUUUUCACCUAUGUUAAGCAAGUGAAGUCAUCCCAUCCUUGGGAUGUUAGUAAUGGAUUCCAAGGCUGCUAUGUGAUGUCACUGGCUGCAGAGGAGAGGGAAGUACUGUGGGAGAGAUCGCAUAGCACCUUGUGUGUCAUGUGUUGCAUUUUAACUAACUAUUCUAGCCUGGAACUGCUGGGGAGGAAAAGGACAAAACUGA
Molecule: long non-coding RNA, 2295 nt
Organism: Chinchilla lanigera (long-tailed chinchilla)
Lineage: Eukaryota; Metazoa; Chordata; Mammalia; Rodentia; Chinchillidae
Source: Ensembl